AAAAACAUGGAGGAUAUUUUAUUCACAUUGCAAUUUCUGUGAAAUUUGUCACCAUAGAGGAUCUUUUCACUUCUUAUGCGGACAGUAGCAUGAAUGCUGAUCAGUCGAGCCAGAAGGCAAUUGAGGAGCUUUUACAGCCUCACAGCAACCUUCACAGUGUUUCAUAAAUAUUAUAUAAUGUCAUGAUGACAGUUUACACCAAGAAUCCAGUAUGUUCAAGACUUCUUUUGGGAAGAAGCAUAUUUUUAAACCUAUCCUGGAAACCUACAUGUCACGUAAGAGGCAACUGAGCUAAUCUAUCCCCAAAGCCAGUAGACAAGGAUCAAUACAGAAACAGAGCAAAUUUGGCAUGGUGCUAUUUACUUGUAAUCUCAGCACUUGAACAGCUGAAGCAGGAGGAUUUUGACCUGGAGACCUGCUGCACUACACAAUGAAGCAUAUGUCCUGACCCUGAGGCACCAACUCCCAUCAAGAAA
This is a long non-coding RNA of Mastomys coucha (southern multimammate mouse), 476 nucleotides long. RefSeq lists it as uncharacterized. The transcript is spliced from 3 exons. The record is from RefSeq and is a predicted model, not a curated record. Lineage: Eukaryota; Metazoa; Chordata; Mammalia; Rodentia; Muridae.